CACGGAGCUUGCUCUGUGGGAUCAGUGGCGAACGGGUGAGUAACACGUGAGCAACCUGCCCCUGACUCUGGGAUAAGCGCUGGAAACGGCGUCUAAUACUGGAUAUGUGACGUGACCGCAUGGUCUGCGUCUGGAAAGAUUUUUCGGUUGGGGAUGGGCUCGCGGCCUAUCAGCUUGUUGGUGAGGUAAUGGCUCACCAAGGCGUCGACGGGUAGCCGGCCUGAGAGGGUGACCGGCCACACUGGGACUGAGACACGGCCCAGACUCCUACGGGAGGCAGCAGUGGGGAAUAUUGCACAAUGGGCGCAAGCCUGAUGCAGCAACGCCGCGUGAGGGAUGACGGCCUUCGGGUUGUAAACCUCUUUUAGCAGGGAAGAAGCGAAAGUGACGGUACCUGCAGAAAAAGCGCCGGCUAACUACGUGCCAGCAGCCGCGGUAAUACGUAGGGCGCAAGCGUUAUCCGGAAUUAUUGGGCGUAAAGAGCUCGUAGGCGGUUUGUCGCGUCUGCUGUGAAAUCCGGAGGCUCAACCUCCGGCCUGCAGUGGGUACGGGCAGACUAGAGUGCGGUAGGGGAGAUUGGAAUUCCUGGUGUAGCGGUGGAAUGCGCAGAUAUCAGGAGGAACACCGAUGGCGAAGGCAGAUCUCUGGGCCGUAACUGACGCUGAGGAGCGAAAGGGUGGGGAGCAAACAGGCUUAGAUACCCUGGUAGUCCACCCCGUAAACGUUGGGAACUAGUUGUGGGGUCCAUUCCACGGAUUCCGUGACGCAGCUAACGCAUUAA
RNAcentral lists this ribosomal RNA (781 nucleotides) under Microbacterium sp. RNAcentral's name for it is "bacterial SSU rRNA". It matches the Rfam family "Bacterial small subunit ribosomal RNA", at positions 72 to 863 of the family's 1533-position model. The record is from RNAcentral. Lineage: Bacteria; Bacillati; Actinomycetota; Actinomycetes; Micrococcales; Microbacteriaceae.